AAACUUAAAGGAAUUGACGGGGACCCGCACAAGCGGUGGAUGAUGUGGAUUAAUUCGAUGCAACGCGAAAAACCUUACCUACCCUUGACAUGUCAGGAAUCCUGCUGAGAGGUGGGAGUGCUCGAAAGAGAACCUGAACACAGGUGCUGCAUGGCUGUCGUCAGCUCGUGUCGUGAGAUGUUGGGUUAAGUCCCGCAACGAGCGCAACCCUUGUCAUUAGUUGCCAUCAUUCAGUUGGGCACUCUAAUGAGACUGCCGGUGACAAACCGGAGGAAGGUGGGGAUGACGUCAAGUCCUCAUGGCCCUUAUGGGUAGGGCUUCACACGUCAUACAAUGGUCGGUACAGAGGGUUGCCAAGCCGCGAGGUGGAGCCAAUCCCAGAAAGCCGAUCGUAGUCCGGAUCGGAGUCUGCAACUCGACUCCGUGAAGUCGGAAUCGCUAGUAAUCGUGGAUCAGCAUGCCACGGUGAAUACGUUCCCGGGUCUUGUACACACCGCCCGUCACACCAUGGGAGUGGGUUUCACCAGAAGUAGGUAGCCUAACCGCAAGGAGGGCGCUUACCACGGUGGGAUUCAUGACUGGGGUGAAGUCGUAACAAGGUAGCCGUAGGGGAACCUGCGGCUGGAUCACCUCCUUUAUG
RNAcentral lists this ribosomal RNA (640 nucleotides) under uncultured Rhodocyclaceae bacterium. RNAcentral describes it as "bacterial SSU rRNA". It matches the Rfam family "Bacterial small subunit ribosomal RNA", at positions 897 to 1533 of the family's 1533-position model. Lineage: Bacteria; Pseudomonadati; Pseudomonadota; Betaproteobacteria; Rhodocyclales; Rhodocyclaceae. The record is from RNAcentral.